UCUUAUGUACAUGCCUAUGAUGUUAUUGCAAUGAAUUCCAUUAGAACUAUGCAAUUAAGCACACUUGGGCUAGAGUAGCACUAAGAUGGGUGACCUCUCGGGAAGCCCUGAUGUUUUACAUGCC
Molecule: non-coding RNA, 124 nt
Organism: Picea glauca (white spruce)
Lineage: Eukaryota; Viridiplantae; Streptophyta; Pinopsida; Pinales; Pinaceae
Source: Rfam